GAGACAGCAGUCGCCGCGGUAAUACGUAGGUGGCAAGCGUUGUCCGGAAUUAUUGGGCGUAAAGGGCUCGCAGGCGGUUUCUUAAGUCUGGUGUGAAAGCCCCCGGCUCAACCGGGGAGGGUCAUUGGAAACUGGGAAACUUGAGUGCAGAAGAGGAGAGUGGAAUUCCACGUGUAGCGGUGAAAUGCGUAGAGAUGUGGAGGAACACCAGUGGCGAAGGCGACUCUCUGGUCUGUAACUGACGCUGAGGAGCGAAAGCGUGGGGAGCGAACAGGAUUAGAGACCCCAGUAGUCCCUGUCUCUUAUAC
RNAcentral lists this ribosomal RNA (308 nucleotides) under uncultured bacterium. RNAcentral describes it as "partial 16S ribosomal RNA". It matches the Rfam family "Bacterial small subunit ribosomal RNA", at positions 505 to 807 of the family's 1533-position model. The record is from RNAcentral.